CCUGGAGGGGGGAAGGGAAAAAGGAUUAUUUCCCUUUGUUGUGAGACUCAAGGGAUUUGGGUCUUGGGGUCCCCAGGGAAGGUUUUUUGGGGGACCAGAGUGCCCCAAAACACUCUAAUUUUUUGGGUGGUGGCAGCAGUACCAGGUCCAAGCUGGUAACUAAGCUUGGAGGUUUUCAUGCUAACCCCCAUAUUUUGGACGCUAAGGUCCAGAAUUGGGAAUUA
Gopherus flavomarginatus (Mexican gopher tortoise) is the source of this 224-nucleotide long non-coding RNA. RefSeq lists it as uncharacterized. The record is from RefSeq and is a predicted model, not a curated record. The transcript has 3 exons. NCBI's taxonomy places the organism in Eukaryota, Metazoa, Chordata, Testudines, Testudinidae.